Molecule: ribosomal RNA, 388 nt
Filed under: uncultured Gammaproteobacteria bacterium
Lineage: Bacteria; Pseudomonadati; Pseudomonadota; Gammaproteobacteria
Description: bacterial SSU rRNA
Rfam family: Bacterial small subunit ribosomal RNA
Source: RNAcentral
AAGGCCUUCGGGUUGUAAAGUACUUUCAACUUGUGAGGANGGGUGUGUAGUUAAUAACUGCACAUCUUGACGUUAGCAACAGAAGAAGCACCGGCUAACUCCGUGCCAGCAGCCGCGGUAAUACGGAGGGUGCGAGCGUUAAUCGGAAUUACUGGGCGUAAAGCGCAUGCAGGUGGUUCAUUAAGUCAGAUGUGAAAGCCCGGGGCUNAACCUCGGAACUGCAUUUGAAACUGGUGAACUAGAGUACUGUAGAGGGGGGUAGAAUUUCAGGUGUAGCGGUGAAAUGCGUAGAGAUCUGAAGGAAUACCAGUGGCGAAGGCGGCCCCCUGGACAGAUACUGACACUCAGAUGCGAAAGCGUGGGGAGCAAACAGGAUUAGAUACCCUGG